UCCUCGGUAGCUCAGCGGUAGAGCAAUCGGCUGUUAACCGAUUGGUCGUAGGUUCGAAUCCUACCCGGGGAGCCA
RNAcentral lists this transfer RNA (75 nucleotides) under Minwuia thermotolerans. Its description in RNAcentral is "tRNA-Asn". It matches the Rfam family "tRNA". From Rfam's summary of the family: Transfer RNA (tRNA) molecules are approximately 80 nucleotides in length. Their secondary structure includes four short double-helical elements and three loops (D, anti-codon, and T loops). Further hydrogen bonds mediate the characteristic L-shaped molecular structure. tRNAs have two regions of fundamental functional importance: the anti-codon, which is responsible for specific mRNA codon recognition, and the 3' end, to which the tRNAs corresponding amino acid is attached (by aminoacyl-tRNA synthetases). tRNAs cope with the degeneracy of the genetic code in two manners: having more than one tRNA (with a specific anti-codon) for a particular amino acid; and 'wobble' base-pairing, i.e. permitting non-standard base-pairing at the 3rd anti-codon position. The record is from RNAcentral. RNAcentral also lists the same sequence under 1 other name. Lineage: Bacteria; Pseudomonadati; Pseudomonadota; Alphaproteobacteria; Minwuiales; Minwuiaceae.